This is a non-coding RNA of Misgurnus anguillicaudatus (oriental weatherfish), 957 nucleotides long. NCBI's taxonomy places the organism in Eukaryota, Metazoa, Chordata, Actinopteri, Cypriniformes, Cobitidae. The record is from the annotation of a RefSeq genome assembly.
AGAACAGACCGGUCUGCAUCUACAAACAUGCUCAUCAAACUCUUCCUUCUCUUCACUGCUUGGAUUUGUGUCGGUGGUGUCAUUGUAGUGACCCAGAAUCCUGCAGUUCUCACAGUAAAUAAAGGACAGACGGCAACACUGGACUGUAAUCUGGACACUGUUACUGAUAGUGCUGCUCGAUGGUAUAAACAGACAACUGGAGCUGUGCCACACUUUGUCUUGUUUUUUUAUCAUCCAAACAGUUCUCCUACCUAUGGAUCUGAUUACUCUGCUCCUAAAUUCACAUCAACACAUUCAUCUAAAUCAGAUUAUAGUUUGAUCAUCAAUAAUGUAGAUGUGAGAGAUUCAGCUGUGUAUUACUGUAGCACCUAUGACAGCUCUGCUAAGGAGUGAGUAUCACAGUGAUUUACAUCAUGACAAAAACCUCCUCACUGUUCACAGUCACUUCUGCUUUUAGCAUUAGGCACAGACAGAGUUUGCUUCAUUGGCUGAAAGUAUUUUUACAAAAUAAAUAAUAUCCGAAAACAAAUAAAUACCUUUAUGUACAUUUUAAAACAUUACUUUGUAAACUAUUGUUAAUCUGGUCAUAAUAUUUUUAUUUAUCAAAACGUGGUGCUCUGUAAAGUCACUUUUAAUCCUGCCAUCCAAUCAUAAUGGAGGAGAGGCAAACCCAAUACUACACGACCAACAAGAACAUCCUACCUUUACUCCAGAACAACAACAUAAAAAUUAAUGUAGAUGGUCAAUUAUAUAACAGCUUGUGUUACCACAAUAAUACGCAUUGAUUUAACAAAUGAUCUGCAUAAUCAGAUACUUAUAAGACAGUAGUUGUUUUCAUCGACAAUACAAUGUUUGUAUUAUAGCAACCAAAACACAUCAACGCUUCUAAAGAGCCCUCCAUUGAUUGUUGUUAAAACGACAGCAAGAGUGUUCAGCUGCCCGAAAACCUUUAGUGAA